AUAUUGUACAAAAGGAGAGAAGGUUAGCUCUCCCCUGACAAGGAUGGAUGAAGACCUUGGGCCUGACAACACACCCAUGGUUAAGGUAUUGCCACCUACUUUGUGGCAUCUAAGCAUCAUUUUUA
Small nuclear RNA from Equus asinus (donkey), 125 nucleotides. Lineage: Eukaryota; Metazoa; Chordata; Mammalia; Perissodactyla; Equidae. The record is from Ensembl.